This 2185-nucleotide long non-coding RNA is filed under the name Rhinolophus ferrumequinum (greater horseshoe bat). RNAcentral's name for it is "lncRNA (ENSRFEG00010008072.1)". The record is from RNAcentral. Lineage: Eukaryota; Metazoa; Chordata; Mammalia; Chiroptera; Rhinolophidae.
AAAUGAAAUAGGCCUUUAUUGAAACCGUCUAUCCUGGGAGGCAGUUUGGCUGUGGAAGAAUAGACUUUUGGUUUCAGAUAUACUUCAGCUCAAAUGGACUUUGGAGGGCGCUGCUGUCACUGACAGUCUCGAAGAGCCUGCUGCAGGUGAAAGGUGAAAACGGAAGGCAGCCUGCUACAGUAUAUCAGGUUUACACCACCAUUCGGGAAGAACUCAGAUGAAACAGUCCGACUGUUCAGAAACACUGGACUCCUAGAUCUUCACUCAGAUUUGGAAUCAGCAAAGCCACGUCCAUUCUCCUGGGGAGAAAACAAGCGUUCUGCAGGCAAGCACUGGCUCAUCUGAACCUUCAAGAUCUCAAAGGGAGGACCUGAGAUGUAUGUAAGCAGAAGAUGCUUUCCCUUAGAUUUACAUCAUCUGGAGCUCUGGAGCCGAGCUGCUGCCCUGGGCGGGUGCACGGAGGACAGAACCCUCAGUUACAGCUGGGUAACCCCGGACCUGAAUGGAGGGGGCCUGAACAACCAGAGGUGGACGUUUUCUGCGAAUGAUGGAAAUCUUGCUUUCCUAUUGGGAAUCCAGGUGGAUUGCUACCUUGAAGUUACUGCACUGAACAGUGGCUUAAACAAAGCAGGGGUUUUGUUCUCUAGUAACAAGGAGGUUGGGGUAGGUGAUUGCUGUGUUGGUUCAGCAGCUCACAGAUGUCAGGGUCAGGGUGGCCUCUCGGGUGCCCUUGCCUUUCCCUCAGGUGGCUGCAGUUCCCCUAAAGAAGCUGGAGAAGGCCAAAGGUCAUGCCAGUUCGAAUUGCUCCCUUUUAGAGAGUUUUCUCAGCCGCCCAACAACUGCCAGACUGUGUCACUGGCUACUGCUAUCCACAGAGUGGCCUGAGAAAUAUAGUCUUGGUAGCUGGGCAUAUAACUGCCUUCAACAAAAAUCUGAGUUCUCGUCAUGAGGUAGAUGAUGAUAGAUCUGGAGUGAACAACUAGCCUGUGUCCUGGCUACAAAGUACAGCUGUAAAGGCGCACAGCUUCGGGGCAGAUCAGCACUCUAGCACCUUCACAGGUGGCCGCCCGCCCAGCACCGCUGCUCUGCUCGCAGAGAGCGAGCGCAGAGUGAAGACGGGCUAGGCUUUCUUGCCAGCACUUGCCAAGACUGAGCUGGACUCUCAGCCAAUACACUUGCCCACAUCAGGAUUUUCCAGAGGAGGACCCUGGGAACGUGCACACUCCCUUGGUGGACAUACUCUCUUUAUGGAGGUUCGGAAUGGCAUGAAGAAUAUUCCUACCUUGCUGCUUCCUCAUCGGCUUCAUGUUUCUCUUCUCCAAUUUUCCUGACAGAUUUUUGGAGGAGUCUUGUUUGUGUAUGUGAUCUCCAUACAAGGAUCAUCCCUUUCAUGCCCAGAGGAGGGUCUAUGUAAAGAAAGCUGCUUUACCCCUUUUUGUGACUCCACUACCAAUCUAGGAAUCUCCUGGGUGAAAAACUGCUUCUCAAAACUGCUUCUAUAAGCAGCCCACACCCUGGCUAAGCAAAGGGAGAGGAAACACUUCCCACGUCCAGGGCUGUUCAAAAGAACUUUCUGUGAUGACAGAAAUGUUCUGUCUGCACUGUCCAAGAGGGCAGCCCCUAGCCCCAGUGAACACUUGAAAUGUGGCUAGUGUGACAUUUACAUAAAAAGUACAUUGUAAGUAAUGUAAAUGCAAGUGGCCACGUGUGGCUGGUGGCUGUGGUGUGGCACAGCGGGGCACACACGGCAUCUUGCACUUUAGAGCCAGCUGGGAGGGGUUUGAGCCAGCCCUGCGCCAGGCGUUCCGUGGUCUUCACUAUUCCGCCUUGCCGUUGAACUUGUCUUCUGGAGAAAAAGGAAAAAAUGGAACUAAAUUCAAGAUGUUCACUUGACAUCUCCUCAUUGCACGCAUAAUGGAGAGGGGUCUCCUGGGAAUCGGUCCUGUGAUUGAUUUUAGCGAUUAUUGAUAAUGGGAAAAUGGCGGAGCUGAUCCACGUAGCAAUUCCUAGGGAACAUUGUGUGUUCCUGGUCAGAUAAGUCAGCGGAGAUUAUUUUGUUCUAUUGUGCAAUUCAUUGUGUUACUUUAUUUUUGUUGUAUUAUGGCUGCUAAAUGAUGAUUUCGUGUAUGUUUUUCAAAAUACUUAGUGGUUUAUAUUUUUUUAAAGGCUGUGAAAUAAAAAAUAA